Molecule: microRNA, 21 nt
Filed under: Homo sapiens (human)
Lineage: Eukaryota; Metazoa; Chordata; Mammalia; Primates; Hominidae
Description: hsa-miR-6774-3p
Source: miRBase by way of RNAcentral
UCGUGUCCCUCUUGUCCACAG